RNAcentral lists this unclassified non-coding RNA (1784 nucleotides) under Leishmania donovani. RNAcentral's name for it is "gene:LdHU3.35.5380(CDS-product:hypothetical_prote in_conserved)". Lineage: Eukaryota; Euglenozoa; Kinetoplastea; Trypanosomatida; Trypanosomatidae. The record is from RNAcentral.
UAGUGUUUUUUUUUCAUUCACGAAGCGGUGUGUGCGCGCGGCCAACAUGCGAUUCGGGGCGCGUUGCUGUUGCUGCCACGUCGGCAGUGAGCUCGCAAGGCCACCGAGCCUCCCCACUGCACCUGCCUGUGGCGGCGCACGUUUUGCCCCUCGUACGCAGCGUCGACACCAGACGUACGUGCCGAACAAAGGGUAUCGUCAACAACCCACUGUCCCGGAUCGCAUGAAAGAUGCAAUGUCUACCUUUGGCGUGGAUAUGCACAACGUGAGCGCCGACGAGGACCCCCCGUACGUCCAGGAGCAUCAGCGGCAGCGGAUGGUGCAGGACGUCAUGUCCAGUUCACAGAACCUGAAGAGCCUGUCCAAGAUGGACCGUCUGCGGUUGGCGCUCGAUCAGGUACGCAACGAACCCGCUGGGCAUGAGAAGUGGAACGAGGUGUACCUGUUCUUGCGCACGACGGAAAUGUGCACUGAGGUGUUGGCGAACGACUCGGACGUGUUUCCGAAAGGCAAGAAGCUCUGGAUCGAGAUGGAGCAGUGCGAGGAGAAGCGGGUGCCGGGGCUGAUGGUGCUGCCGAACGGGAUGCCGGUGCUGCCCAUCUUCACCAUGGAGGAGUACAUGGAUUCGUACUUCUCGCGCACAAACGUGUAUGAAUCGUGCUGGUUCCCUGUGCCGCGCAGCGGCACGCAAUGGGAGGAGUUCUGCAAGCUUCCUUUUCCUGCGUGUGUCACCGGCAGCAUUCAACACUUUAGCACCCUGGCGACGGUGGCCCUCGGCAGCCACCAACUCGGCAUCCUCGUCAAUCCGGGCAUGCGCUCCAGCAAGUUCAUCACCUACCCCGAGAUGGUCACUCUAACGCAGCAGAGACAGCAAAAGAGAAAAAACCGCCGACCGGCAGUGACGCCGGCUACCAGCGCAGAGGGCAGCACCGCUGCCGCUCCCACAGAAGAGCGUCUCUUUGACGAGAACUUGAUGAUGACCUUCGACACCAAUAAACUGCCAUUGAAACGCCUCGAGCCACAUGACCUCGCGGCCUGCAUGGCGCAGCGGCCGCCGAUUCCACCUGUUGCGGAGCUUGAGCUGCAUCUGCUGCUGCACGUGUAUGCCGAGAUCGAGGCUGUCUACAUCCGCACUGUUGAGCGACCGCGGUGGCGAAGAGUGUUAGGGGCCUCGGAGAAGAUGACGCAGAUCGACGUUGUCUGCAGCCCCCCACGCAAGCCGGACAAGAGCUUCUUUGGGCACCUGCAACAGUGGAGCUUCAUGAAAGAGUUCAACAGCGACGUACACGUGGAGCUGACGAGCCGGGCCCCGGCGCAGGAGGGCUCUACAGAUUCCUUCAUGCGAAUAUACUCGAACGAGGCUGAUGGUAAGCUACUACGGUCCAUGGCCACCUUCAAAGGACGCACUCUGGCCGACCAACUCGGCUUCAACGAGCCCAUCACAGACGGCCACGGCAACAAGCCGUACGAGCGCUACGUGAGCUACUUUUGAGAGGCGGGGAUGACAGCAGUGGGGAGGCGAGGAACAAAGACGUGCGAAGGCGCUGGCAGUAAAGAAAAGGGAGAGCGUGUUGAUCUCUUUUCCUUUGUUUCCCGUUUUCCUCCUCAUCGCAUCUCCGUUGCAGCCUUGGGCGAAAGUGCGAGAGGCGGAGAGGCAGAGCGUGGACUUGUGAGUUGGUCGAAGUGGCUUUUUUCUUGCUUUGGUUGCGUUGCAGGUGGGGAUUCUGACUGGCGGCGUGGAGCCGCUUGGCCACCGCUGUUUAGAUGAGGAGCAAAGAGCCGAA